Molecule: ribosomal RNA, 479 nt
Filed under: uncultured Saprospiraceae bacterium
Lineage: Bacteria; Pseudomonadati; Bacteroidota; Saprospiria; Saprospirales; Saprospiraceae
Description: bacterial SSU rRNA
Rfam family: Bacterial small subunit ribosomal RNA
Source: RNAcentral
GAUGAACGCUAGCGGGAGGCUUAAUACAUGCAAGUCGGACGGUAACAGGUCUUCGGAUGCUGACGAGUGGCGCACGGGUGAGUAACGCGUACACAACCUACCUUUAACAGAGGGAUAGCCCUGGGAAACUGGGAAUAAUACCUCAUAGUAUUAUUGAACUGCAUGGUUUAAUAAUUAAAGUGUUAGCGGUUAAAGAUGGGUGUGCGUGCCAUUAGAUAGUUGGUGAGGUAACGGCUCACCAAGUCAACGAUGGCUAGGGGGCGUGAGAGCGUGAUCCCCCACACGGGUACUGAGACACGGACCCGACUCCUACGGGAGGCAGCAGUAAGGAAUAUUGGACAAUGGACGAAAGUCUGAUCCAGCCAUCCCGCGUGCAGGAUGACGGCCCUAUGGGUUGUAAACUGCUUUUAUGAGAGAAGAAACGCCUUGAUUUAUUUAGGGUCUGACGGUAUCUCAUGAAUAAGCACCGGCUAACUCCG